This 220-nucleotide long non-coding RNA is filed under the name Lathyrus oleraceus (garden pea). RNAcentral describes it as "Pisum sativum (pea) long non-coding RNA (PSAT_LNC025253)". The record is from RNAcentral. Lineage: Eukaryota; Viridiplantae; Streptophyta; Magnoliopsida; Fabales; Fabaceae.
AAACAUAAGCUAGUAGUGUAGGAACUGGGUUCUGGGAGAUGAAGAUGGUGAUGGAGACCUUAUCAAUGAAACCUCCGAUACUCGGGAAUAGCACCAGACCAUAGAUGAGUAAUGAAAAGCUAGCAUAGAAGGCAUCCCAAUUACCAUUGUUGGCAAAUAUAGUGGCUUUCUUGAACAAGAACUUAGACGGAAGGCCCUUGGUAUUACCCUUAACUCGGAA